Molecule: ribosomal RNA, 253 nt
Filed under: uncultured bacterium
Lineage: Bacteria
Description: partial 16S ribosomal RNA
Rfam family: Bacterial small subunit ribosomal RNA
Source: RNAcentral
UACGAGUGCCCCAAGCGUUAUCCGGAAUCAUUGGGCGUAAAGGGUGUGUAGGUGGUUAUGUUAGUCUUUUGUAAAAUCUCCAGGCUUAACCUGGAAACCGCGAAAGAAACGGCAUGACUAGAGGGUGCGAGGGGUCUGUGGAACUCAUGGAGUAGGGGUGAAAUCCGUUGAUAUCAUGGGGAACACCAAAAGCGAAGGCAACAGACUGGCGCAUUCCUGACACUGAAACACGAAAGCGUGGGUAGCGAAUGGG